GGUGUGGUUUGCAGACACCAGCAGGUGUGUUCAUGACAGGAGAACAGAGCGCUGAUUUCAGAUCUUCACUUUUAGUUUUGCUGUUUGUUUUUCACUCCCAAUAUAGUUUUGUAAAAAACGUUGUGUUGCAUUGAUUAAUUCAGGAUAAUUAUGUGGGAAUAUAAGGAAAUCAGUCCUUGUACUUAAAGCUGGCACCAGAAAUCUGAUGUCAUCCUGUCCAAACUGCUGCAUGGCUGGCAGACAGCAUGGCAUCCUGUGAUUGGUUCUGACAAGCCAGUGACAGCUCUGGAGGCUUCAUCUUUGCAGACAUUGGGAGCUGUCAUUUCGCACUGCCCUGUGAUGUGGGUGACACUCAGUCGCUGUGACAGGUGCUGGAGAGAGCACACUCUCCUCAGCAAAGAGGAGACAUUUCUUCAGUGGAUGGCGACCUGCCAGUUGGGCCUUGCUCAGUCAGAGUGCUGCAAAAGUCAACACUGAAGAGAGGAGGCUGGAGGGCAGAUGAAUCUCUCUUCUGAAAGUGCCAGGAUAAAUUGCCGGAAAUUAGCCAUAAAAUCUACUGUGCAGGGAGUGUGAGGUGAAGGCCGCCAAGGAGCCAAGGACAUUGGGCUGCCGUGGUUACGCUUGGCCUGCCCUGCCUCCCCCCAUAGUUGGCAUUCAUGGCUGUUAAAGACCUCUGCUCAGACGGAUACACUGAAGCCCCGAGUAGCACUCAACACAUCAGGAGGAUCAGCCAAGCAAGUGUUACACCAACGGCGGGGUUUCAUGCUCCAGUAACGUGACAGAUUUUUAUCAUAAGGAUGCAGUUUUUCUGGAUUUUGUUUAUUUUAAUCCAUUUAAACUCCUAAAAAAACGUCUUUAAAUCCUGUUAUUCAGUUAUAUGAACAACUUUUGUUAAAAAGAACUUGUUUCUGAAGUAAAGAAGAUAAAUUAUGA
Oryzias melastigma (Indian medaka) is the source of this 933-nucleotide long non-coding RNA. RefSeq lists it as uncharacterized. Lineage: Eukaryota; Metazoa; Chordata; Actinopteri; Beloniformes; Adrianichthyidae. The transcript has 5 exons. The record is from RefSeq and is a predicted model, not a curated record.